CAAGUUUUUGAACAAAACAAAAUUACCAGCUUGUGUAUAUGGAUGUUUUAUUAAUUGUUUAUAUUUUUAAUAAUUUUUUUGAUUCUCAAAAUUAUUUAUUUCAUUAGUUUUCAGAAAUACAAAGGGUAAAAAGGAGAAAAAAAUGGACAAAACUAGUUUUAUACCAAAGGGACAACAACCUGGUUUUUUUAUUCUCUUUUGGCAAUUUUCCCUUAUAAUUACACAUCUUUUUAUAUAUUAGACAUUCUUUCGUUUAACUUCCAAUGUGAGAUUUUGGUUGAUAUCUAGCCGUAACUUUUGGAGUUAAAAUCAUGAGAGUAGAGACACAGAAGGAUAAUACACAAACAAAAACAAAAACAAAAACAAACUCUAAAGUUAAAUAAGGUUAAUUGUAAAAUGGCCCCACCCCAAAUUAAUUAACCUCUCACGUUAUAAGAACACAUAUAAUUAAACUCGACGCUCCUAAUUGGGCCCAAGGCCCGCCAAAAUUAAUCCCGAGUUAUCGAAUUAAUUUUAAAUUCCCGUUAAUUCGUUAAACUAAUUAAAACCGUUCAGACAAGAAGAGAAGAACCGUUGUACUUUUCAAGCAUUACUCAACGGCUACUCCUCUUCUCCCACCUUUCUUCCUCCUCUGAGUCAAUCCCUUUGAUCCAAUUUCUCAUCGAUCCAACUGAAAUGGAGACGAGAACCGGCCAAUCAACACCGGCGAUAACUGCGCCGGUCCCGGUUCCGGUUCCUCCGCCUUCUACGCGGCGUCCUAGAGUGAGAGAAGUGAGCUCCAGAUUCAUGUCUCCGGUUGCUUCAUCUUCCGGACAUCAUCAGCGAUCCGUUUCAACUCAGAAGCCGAGAAGGCAGUUAAAAUUACCGGAAGGCGACGAGAACCGCCCUCCGGAGACGGCCGCGCGUGGCCUAGACUCGCCGUUUCCUCUCGACGGAGGAAAAAACAACCAGCGGCGGAAUCGAUCCAAGCCGUUGAGAGAGGAGAACGGACACACUCUAACGUUGCCGCCGCCUCCGUCUAGGUCUCGAUCGAACCAGCAGCGUUUGCUUACGUCAUCAGCCGCCGCUAGGCUUCUGAGAUUAUCCGUCUCCAUGGACGGUGAAGAAGAAGAGAAACUCAACGAUGAUGAUACGUCGUCGUUUCGGGCUUCGUUGUUGGUUAAAAACGGCGUUGGCUUGUCAUUGCCGCCCGUGGCACCUAACUUGAAGUCUCAAGGAGAUAUAAAGAGACAGAAGAGAGUUUUAGGACAACAAGCGGAUGCACACUCUUUGAAACUGCUACACAACCGCUACUUGCAAUGGAGAUUCGCAAACGCAAAUGCUGACGUCAUAAAACAAGCUCAUAAAGCAGAGGCUGAGGUAUGUAUGUAUGACUCUAACAUUAACAUUCUGAACGAACUAGCAAUAGUCUCUAACUUCAAUGGUGAAUUAUAAUUUUCUUGCAGAGAAUGUUUUAUUCACUUGGUUUGAAAAUGUCAGAGCUCUCUCAUUGUGUACAUAAGAAACGCAUAGAGCUCCAAGGAUUAGUGAGAGUAAAAGCUAUUAAGAAGAUUGUGGAGCCUCAAGUAAAUCAGAUUUGAUUAUCUCAUUUAGACAAUAAAAAAAGCGAUUGAGAAAAAACGUGUAAUUAGUAGUAUUUGGUGGACUAACCUCUUUAUUACUCUAAUGCAGAUGCCUUUAUUGGAACAAUGGACAACAUUUGAAGAAGAAUACUCAGCUUCACUAUAGGAAACAUCCGAAGCUUUAUUGAAUGCUUCAUUGCGGCUCCCUCUAGAUGUCGAUAUCAAGGUUUAUACUGUUCGGAUGAACUUAGAUUUAACAUUGUUCCCUUUAUUAUAUCUUUUGCAUCAAACAAUUUUGAUUCUCAAUAUCAGGUUGAGACGAAAGAGUUAGGAGAAGUACUUGCGGUUGCUUCAAAGUCCAUGGAAGGCAUCGUGCAAAGUAUAGAACAGUUUCUCCCUAAGGUUGGCAAAAUGCUAUCAUUGUUGGCUUCACGCCAGACAUGAACAUGAAUAUAUAUGUAACAACUUCUUUGAUGCACUUUGCAGACACAAGAGAUUGAGAGUUUGUUGUCGGAACUAGCGAGAGUAAGCAGCAGAGAAAAAGUAUCAGUGGAAGACUGUGGAGUUGCACUGCUUAAGACACAUUCGUCACAUGUAUGAACCGAACCUCUAAACAUAUAAUUUGAUAUAAUCAUUUGUUUCCUUUCAGUUGUUGAAAUCUGAAAUGUCUUAAUUUUUCUGCAGGUUGAAGAUUGCUAUCUUAGAAGUCAGCUUAUACAGCAGCACCACAAGCAAUGUGUAUAAUAAAUGAAUUUGAAGCUCCCCUUGCAUAAUAAAUGUAUCACACAAAAUAGUAUAAUAAAAGGUUUUGGUAAAGUAACUGUAUUGAAGAAAGCUGAUGAAACUGACGCUGUAGCUAAUUAGAACAACGCUGAUGAUAGCAAAUGUUGUUCCAACACAACAAGGUUUUUUGUAUUUUGAAAUGUAAAAUUAUAUGUCAGAGAAAACAGAUGUGUUAUAUGUUUCUGAUUCCAGGAUACGUUUGAGAGCAUCAGAUUCAUAAGCAUGAAAACAUUUGAUCUUUGGAAAUGUAAGGCCUUAUAAUCUUUAGGCCCAUAAAAUAGUCCAUUUUAAGUGGUGACUCCAGUGGACCACUGCCCACUGGUGGUGUGUAAUAAUAAUUAGUAGGGCGUUGAAAUGUGAUAAUGAGUCAAUCCCAUACCCGUGACAUGUAGUUGAGCAUAACACUCCAAAAUUCUACUUUGGCACUUUUAAAGAAACCACGAGAUGAAGCCAACUCUUUCUUUGUCUUUUUGAAUAUUGAAUAUUGAAUAUUUCGGUUCUUUUUUUCAAUCCUUUCAAGUAAGAAAAAGGUUGUAGUCAAGAUAUUAUAUUAAUUAAACUAACUAACUGAACUUGACCUAUGUUUGUAGCUGUUUUCAUUAAGGUCGUUGGUAUGUUAUAAUUUGGAAAUGACUUAGAGACAUGAUUAUAGACCCAGUUGUUAGACUUUAUAAUUGACCCAUUGUACUUUUUUUAUGGUUAUGUCUAGCUAUAGUAAGCAAUAAAGCUAGCAGAUGUUAUGUACAAAAAAUAAAAUAAAGCAGAUGUUGUGUUACAAAAAUGUUUAAUUUGUGUCUGCAUGUACCAAUUUUUUUUUUUUUUCAUAUCACGAACGUUAUAAUAACGUGUCUGAUCUCAGCGUUCCUGAAUAUCUUGAUAUUAAAUGAUGAAAGUUUGAAUAUAGCAUCUAUUUACCACCUAUUUCCCCCUACAAAAAUUAACUGGAUUUCAUUUGGAAAAUGGAGAAAAUACUUUUCUACAGUGGAGACAGAAUCCUUGAACAAUCAACUAACAUUUUUUUAUUGGUUCUAGCUAAUAAUAACAAACGGUUUUAAUACGGCAGAGAGAUGCAAUUUGCACAUAAUUUUCAGAAAUAUAUCGUGGCAAUGAAAAUAAAAUCUUCAUAUUUCAAGACAAAAAAAAAAAAUUUGAUGAAAUUUUUAUAAAAAGAAGAAUUGUACGAAUUCACAAUCGAAAUAGAAAAAUGUGAAGAUUUGGCCAAUAAGAAAUUAAUGGCAUAGGACAUACGUAGGCUUUAAAGAAAGAAAUACAAAAUGGGAAAAUGGAGAUGUAACAGAAUGGAAAAGGAAAGGUGUGGAGUUGAUUGAGAUUUGAGACCAUGUAUUGUCGUCAUUUUUCCUUCUAAUUAUCUUAAGUUCUUAACCGACAAUUCAUGGCUUUAUUUUUUGAAUUUUACACUGUUUUUCACAUUGUGGGUGCUCUCACUCCCACCCAAUCAUAAAUAAAUACUUUUUAAAUAGUGAUGAUAAGGUAGUGGAGCAAUGCUCAAAUAGUUGACUCAGUAAUUUAAAUAUUACUAUCUACACAUGUUGUUUUGUUUUUUUAUCAAUACUGUAUGUUUAAGGUUUAAAUCAGUACUGCAAAGUGUGCAUUUAUGAUAACCGGCUUGUUUAUGAACAACACUCGACUGGACUGGCUCUAUGAUAAAUAAUGCAAAAUAUUUAUGUAAUGAGAAAUUAUAUUAAAAAAAUGUAAAUGGAUAAAUUAUAAGACAUCUAUUUUCUUAAAAUUGAAUAAUUAUGCUAUUACAAGAAAUUGAUCUGUGUUAAUCUUAAUAUGCAUCAUUAGGCAAUGAAAAACUAAAAGGAAGAUGUAAACAUUUGCAUUUGACCCUUCUCAUGAUUAACAUAUUAUGUCAUUUUUUAUCAUCAUUUUAGCUAGGUAUGAGUGAGCCUAAACCAGAAGAGAUUAAUACAUUUCUCCAGAUGAAUUUUGAAAAUCCCGAAAACAAAACGUUAAGGCGUCAGAACAGUGGGAAUGUUCCAAUCCAGCAAAAUUUCAUUUCUCUAAAAAGCUGACAGUAAAAUUAAAAAAAUUAAAAAAAUUAUACUUUUGAUAUAAAAUAAAAAUAAAACCUUCGAACUAUUCCAGAAAAAAAGAUCCUGACAAGAAAAAAUAAAAAUUUAAAACAGAUGAAAAGACAGUAACCAAUCUUACGCAAAAGAAUCCAAGUUUUUUCACUUGUGUCUGUUUUAAAAGAAAAAACGUACGGUCCUUUAAUGAAAGGUUUAGCACAAAAGAGUUAUUAACUUCCCAGAAGAACCUCUCAUCUUCUCUAUCUCUCCAAAAAGACUUUCUCUUUCUGUGUUUCUUUCUUUCUUUAACCAUGGCCGUUAAUUUCAAAAGGGUCAGCUUCUUGCUUGCUCUGGUAAUGACGGUGGCGGCUAUCCUCACUCCUUCAGUCAUCUCCGGCGAAAAUAGGUUCUCCGAUCUCCAAAUCCAUAAACACUUGAAACGACUCAACAAGCCACCUCUCAAAUCCAUAAAGGUUAAAAAAUUUCACAGAGAUUAUUAGAUAAAGUUUCAACAAAUUUCACAAUAAUUUAUGGUUUCAAACAGAGCCCAGAUGGAGAUGUGAUUGACUGUGUCCCAAUCACCGACCAACCAGCUUUAGCUCAUCCUCUGCUGAUCAACCACACUGUCCAGGUUAAGAAACUGUUCUGUUUUUCUUCUUUCAGUUCGAACAGACUCUGUUCUGACAUUGUUAAUGGGCUUUGUUUAUAGAUGAGACCAAGUUUCAACCCAGAGAGUGUCUUUAGUGAGAGUAAAGUUUCGUCCAAGUCUAAUGAUAUAACUCAGCUUUGGCAUGUGAAUGGGAAAUGCCCUGCGGACACAGUUCCCAUCAGAAGAACGAGGAAGCAAGAUCUUUACCGAGCGAGUUCCGUCGAGAAGUUCGGUAUGAAGAGCCAGAAGAGUAUUCCUAAGCCUAAAUCUUAUGAGCCAGCUAGUGUCCUUACACAAAAUGGUCAUCAGGUAAUAAUGUUUCAUUGUCAUGUUUUUGUUGUGUGUGUUUAUUAACAAGGUUUAUUAUCUCUUUGGAUUUGAUGUAGCACGCGAUAAUGUAUGUCGAAGAUGGGGUUUUCUACGGGGCGAAAGCGAAGAUUAAUGUAUGGAAUCCGGAUGUGGAGAUGCCUAAUGAGUUUAGCUUGGCUCAGAUUUGGGUUUUGGGUGGAAACUUUAACUCUGAUCUUAAUAGUAUUGAAGCUGGCUGGCAGGUGAAUCUUAUCUUCUUGAAAAGGACUUCUUGUUAAUAGAGAAAGACUGUUUCUAACUCAGAGAUUUGUGUGUGUGUUUUCAGGUCAGUCCACAGUUGUAUGGUGAUACUCGCACCAGGCUCUUCACUUAUUGGACUGUAAGUUUCUACAUAUUUCGGUUUUUUUUUUUUAAUAUUCUUGUCUGUGUUUUAGUUUAUCUAAGUAUCAUUAUUUUGGUUUCUCUUGUGAAAAAAAAAACAGAGUGAUGCAUACCAAGGCACUGGCUGCUAUAACCUUCUGUGCUCAGGGUUUGUUCAAGUCAACAGGGAGAUUGCAAUGGGUGGUUCAAUCUCACCUCUCUCUGGCUAUGGGAACUCUCAGUAUGACAUUACCAUACUUAUCUGGAAGGUAAACCAACAGCAAGAAACCUUUAAAACUUUGAAAGCUUAGAUGCUUUUAGUUAGCUCCCUACAAACAAGAAUAAAAUAACUUAGUUAAAACUAAUAUAAAAAUAUACAUUGUACAGCUAAAUUUAUUUCUAUAUGUAGCCUAAUGAUGUCAAUAAAAAUAUGUAGGCUAAUGAAAAAUAUGGUUUUAGUGAUGUUGUCGGUUUAUUCAGUUUGUUUAGCAUAAAACUAUUUCUACCAACCGGUUUUGGUUUAGCUUCGGUUUGGUUUUUCUCAGGAUCCAAAAGAAGGACAUUGGUGGCUACAAUUUGGAGAGAAGUACAUAAUAGGAUACUGGCCAGCUUCACUCUUCUCUUACUUAUCAGAAAGUGCAUCGAUGAUCGAAUGGGGAGGUGAAGUGGUGAACUCACAGUCUGAGGAAGGAAAACACACCACCACUCAGAUGGGAAGUGGUCGGUUUGCAGAGGAAGGUUGGGGCAAAGCUAGUUACUUCAAGAACGUUCAAGUAGUCGAUGGGUCGAACGAACUGAGGAACCCUGAGAAUCUUCAAGUCUUUACUGAUCAAGAAAACUGUUACAAUGUGAAGAGUGGUGAUGGAGGUUCUUGGGGAAGUCACUUCUAUUAUGGUGGUCCUGGUAGAAACUCUAAUUGCCCUUAAAGAUCUGCCUACUUACACUUGCAUAGCAGGAUCACUCCAGAUUUAAUUAUCAAUUGUAUAAAACAUAUAUUAUAUACGCAUUCUUAAGUAUAUUGGUUUUAGUUUGCAAUGAGUGUGUCUUUGUUUCUAUGGAGUGAAGAGAAUAUAAAUGUCUUUAAAGAACAUGGUCCCAUGUGUAUACUGGAAUAUAUAUAUAAUCACAUUAGUUACUCGUCUUUGUUUUCAGGUGACCUGUGUUAUAAUUGCUUUGUCUACGUAUAACAAAACAUAGAGAUGGGACUUUUGGAUCUUCCAUUAUAAUUAUUGGUCAAACUUCAUUAGUGUAGUGUAAUAAAUAAAUGUAUUGUUUCAUAAUUUAGUUGUUACUAAUACUCAUCCAAAAAUAUAUUGGUUCAUAAUGUAGUUGUCACUAAUAUGUUGCCGUUUGUCUUGUGACUGACACUAUCGCUUAAUUUCUUUUGGAGCGAAUUUAGUAUCUGGUAAUGCGGGCAAGGUUUGACUUCAUUUCCGGUCUCUCUUUUGUGCUUAUUUAGAAACAAAAUAUCUUCUAACACAGUUAUUAAUUCGAUGUCAUAUGUAAAAAUAGAAUCAUUCUAAUAAUUUAAUUUUUAUUAGAACAAGUUUUCUGUCAAAAAGAAGAAUAAAUGAUGAUCAUCUCUUUUGUUAAAACAGAAACAUUAUGACUUUUCUAGGUGGAUUUAAGUUGGACCUCCUAUUAGAUAUGUUAUAUUUUCUGAUCUUAAUAAAUGUUUAUGUUGUCAAAUUAAUUAUGAUAACAAUUUAUUAGAUAUGUUCAUAAUUUUAGAAAGAAUCUCACCUAAAUUUUGAAAAAAACAAAUCAGAAAAUAUCUUAUCAUUAAGAUUGUAUUUUUUUUGGAAAAAUAUUAAAUAUAUAUAUAUAUAUAUAAGUUUUAAAUUUGCAAUAUGGGAUCUAAGCAUAUAUCUGCAUCUAAACUAAACCCAAAAUGGAUUGUCUAUAACUUAGGACUGUGGAAACUGGUGGCUAAGGGUCGGUGAGGAGCUUGUUGGGUACUGGCCUGGCUCGUUGUUUACUUCUCUGAAAGAUAAAGCUGAGGAAGUUUAUUGGGGCGGUGGAAUCGCAAACGAAAUGACCGGCGGGAGACACACAACCACCACUAUGGGAAGUGGGCACUUCGCAGGAGAGUGGUAUAAGAAAGCGAGCUAUUUCAGGAAAGUUAUGACAGUUGAUGGAGCCAAUACUCUGAGAGAAGCAGAAAAUCUUCAUCCUACUACUGAUAAUGAUAACUGCUACAGCGUUAAAGAAGGACAAAGUGGAAGUUCUUAUUGGGGCCGGGGGACUCAUUUCUUCUAUGGUGGUCCUGGUCGAAACGCUAAGUGCCCUUGAUAUCUGGAUAUGUGUGUGUGUGUGUGUGUCAAAGCUUAAGUAUGUCGCAUGUGUAAUUUAAAAUAAGAACAUGUGAUAGUCAUGACAUGAAAAGAAAAAUUCAGUCAAGGUAGUUAGAUCCUUGAUAUUAUGUGUAUGUAAAAGCUUUUUUAGGUCAAAAGUCUGUAAUUUGAAUAAUAAUAUGUUUGAAUGUCAAAAAAGAAUAUGAUAAGAAUAUGCAUGUUUGAUCUGGUCGUAAGGUUUUUGUACAUGAUAGUGUUUGGGCUAGCAACAUUUAUAUUUGUUCGGAACUUCAAUUUUAUAGACACUACAAGAAAACGUAGCAGUAACAACGGCAUUUUACGAGGAAAUAAUUUCCUCGUAAAUUUACAUGAGCUUUACAACGCAAUUACGACGCGACAUGACUUCGUCGUAAACUCGAUGGUAAUUUACGACGAAAUGUAUUCGUCGUAAAGUUAAUGUAAGUUUACGACGAAAGUACGUGGAAUGCAAAAUAGUUGUAAACGUUACAUCGACAUUACAACGAAUCAUGUUACCGUUACAUAAAGGUGAAAACGUGUAUUGAAAGUGCUUUAACUUACCUAAGUUCGUUGUAAACGCGUUGUAAAUUUUCCAUGUAAAAUCCAUGUAAAACUUACCAUAUUUCUCUAUAUAUAUGUCAUUUCCCACAACUCUCUUCCUCACAACACACAACUCUCUUCCUCACAACACACAACUCUCUUCUUCACAACACACAACUCUCUUCUUCUCGAACCACCAAUUACUAUUUCGAAGAUAACGAUAACGAACAUGAGUCAUUCGUCUGUCUGCCAAUUCAGUAGAGCGAUAAGGAGAAAAUGGAGGGAAGUGAAGUUGGUUUAUACUUGAGUGAAACCUCCGACCAUCGUCAAAGGUUCCUCUCAAGUACAAACCAGCUGCACUUCCGUCCACUUUCUCCUUGUCGUUCCACUGAAUUGGCAGACAGACGAACGACACAGGUUCCUUAUCGUUGUUUUAGAAAUAGUAAUUGGUGGGGUAACAACGCAAUUACGACGAAACCAAAUUUCGUCGUAAACGCCAUGUAAUAUUACGACGUAAGUACGUCGAAAAUGAAAUUUUACAUCGAUAUUACAACGAAUCAUGUUACCGUUAUAUUUAGGUGAAAAACUUAUCGAGUUUCGUUGUAAAGUCGUUGUAAAAAAACUAUGUAAAAUCCAUGUAAACUUUCCCUUGUAAAAUCGUUGUUAUAUUUCAACUACCCAACUCGAAAAUUUCUCUAUAUAUAUGUCAUUUCCCACAACUCUCUUCCUCACAACACACAACUCUCUUCCUCACAAGACACAAACGGAAAAAAAAAAAAUUUAAAAAAAAAUAGUAGAAAAAAUGGUCGGUGGCGGUAGUAUUUACGAGUUACGAAGUUGGAUGUAUUUGCACAAAGAUUCCGACGGGAGAGUGACGAAUGCAUUUCUGAACGGGCUAGAGACAUUCAUGCACCAGGCGGGCUGUACACCGAUCACGCAGGAAAGCGGUAAGAUGUUCUGCCCCUGUUCAAAAUGCAAAAAUUCGAAAUUUGCACGUAGUGAAACUGUAUGGAAUCAUUUAGUAAACAGAGGAUUUACACCACAGUAUUACAUUUGGUAUCAACAUGGAGAGGGUUAUGGGGGAAAUGAAGCUAGUAGUAGUAAUGCUAAUUUUGAGGAUGCUCAUCAUAAUGAAGAACCGAAUCAUGUGCAUAAUGAAUAUAAUUAUCAUCAAGAGGAGCAGAUGGUAGAUCAUGAUAGGGUUCAAGAUAUGAUUAGUGAUGCAUUUUUAGAAACAACUACAACAAUAGCAGAUGGAACUGGAAAUGUAGAAGAACCUAAUUUGGAUGCAAAAAGAUUUUAUGAAAUGCUAGAUGCUGCAAAUCAACCAAUCUACACUGGUUGUAGAGAAGGUCUCUCUAAAUUGUCUCUAGCAGCUAGGAUGAUGAAUAUUAAAACGGAUCAUAAUUUACCUGAGAAUUGCAUGGAUGCAUGGGCGGAGUUGUUUAAAGAGUAUUUGCCAGAAGACAACGUGUCUGCUGAAUCUUAUUAUGAGAUUCAGAAAUUGGUUUAUAGUCUUGGGUUACCCUCGGAGAUGAUUGAUGUUUGCAUCGACAACUGCAUGAUCUACUGGAAGGAAGAUGACAAGUUAGAAGAGUGUCGAUUCUGCAAAAAACCACGAUUCAAACCGCAAGGCCGUGGGAGGAAUAGGGUACCGUACCAAAGGAUGUGGUACCUACCAAUUACAGACAGAUUGAAAAGAUUAUAUCAAUCUGAGAGGACUGCUGCGUCGAUGAGGUGGCAUGCCGAACAUGUCCAGAGAGAUGGUGAGGUUGCACAUCCAUCAGACGCAAGAGCGUGGAAACAUUUCAACAAGGUACACGCAGAUUUUGCUACAAAUAUUCGGAAUGUCUAUCUUGGGUUAUGCACCGAUGGAUUUAGUCCAUUUGGAAUGUCUGGUAGACAAUAUUCUUUGUGGCCAGUCAUUCUUACGCCGUAUAAUUUACCGCCGGAUAUGUGCAUGGAACAAGAAUUUCUAUUUUUGACCAUAUUAAUCCCUGGGCCGAAGCAUCCAAAACGGUCUCUUGAUGUUUUUCUUCAACCGUUGAUAGAAGAGCUAAAGCAAUUGUGGUCAGAAGGGGUGAGGACGUACGAUUGUUCCUUGAAAAACAAUUUUACGAUGCGAGCAGUUCUGCUGUGGACGAUAAGUGAUUUCCCUGCUUAUGGGAUGUUGUCUGGCUGGACAACACAUGGAAGAUUAUCUUGUCCAUAUUGUCUUGGAUCGACGGAUGCUUUUCAACUGAAGAAUGGUAGGAAGAGUUGUUGGUUUGACUGUCAUCGUCGCUUUCUUCCACUUGCCCAUCCGUACAGAAGAAAUAAGACAUUGUUUCGGCACAAAAAAAUUGUCAGAGACGGUCCUCCUCCAUAUCUCACCGGCCAGCAGAUCGAAGCAGACAUUGAUUAUUACGGAGCUCAGGAAACAGUUAAAGUUGGAGGAAAUUGGCAUGUUCCUGGAAAUAUGCCUGAUGGAUAUGGUGUGUCUCACAAUUGGCAUAAGAAGAGUAUAUUUUGGGAGCUACCCUAUUGGAAGGAUCUUCUCUUACGCCACAAUCUGGAUGUCAUGCAUAUUGAGAAGAACUUUUUUGAGAACAUCAUGAAUACAUUACUUAACGUCCCUGGGAAGACAAAAGAUAACAAAAAGUCAAGGAUGGACUUACCUGAUAUUUGCUCAAGAAGUGAGUUACAUAUCAAGAGCAAUGGAAACGUUCCUGUUCCCAUCUUCCGGUUGUCAUCAGAAGCCAAAACAACCUUGUUUGACUGGGUUGCAUCAGAAGUUAAGUUUCCUGAUGGUUAUGUUUCAAAUCUGUCAAGAUGUGUUGAACGAGGUCAAAAGUUCUCCGGAAUGAAGAGUCAUGAUUGUCAUGUGUUUAUGCAACGACUACUUCCAUUUGCUUUUGCCGAGCUCCUUCCAGCAAAUGUCCAUGAAGCACUUGCAGGUAAUUAUAAAACGUUAAUAUAUAUACAUAUGUUAUGAAAUGUUAUUAAUUUGAUUACUUUUGCAAUAUACAGCCAUCGGCGCUUUUUUCAGAGAUCUCAGCACACGUACGUUCAAGGAAGAAGUCAUCGAACAACUUCAUCAUAACAUUCCGAUCAUAUUGUGCAACCUGGAGAAGAUAUUUCCUCCUUCAUUUUUUGACGUCAUGGAGCAUCUAGUUGUCCACCUACCGUAUGAAGCAUUGCUUCGUGGACCUGUUCACAACGGAUGGAUGUAUCCGUAUGAGCGACAGAUGAAACAUUUGAAGGGGAAAGCAAGAAAUCUUGCAAAGGUGGAAGGUUCAAUAGUUGCGGGGAGUUUGACAGCCGAAACAUCUAACUUCACAUCAUACUACUUUGCUCCAACUGUUCGUACGAGAAAAAGAGUUCCUAGAAGAUAUGAUGAUGGUGGAGUACCGACAUCAUAUCCAAUUGAUGGUGUUCCUGACAUUUUCUGCGAAAUUGGACGGUUUGGUGGUAAAACGAAAGAAGUAUGGUGGUCAUGUGAAGAAGAUAAACUCUCUCUAAGGUAAACUCUCUCUUCUCUCUCUCUUUUUUUUUUUUUUUAAAUUAGUUUAGGUGAUUAGUUAGGUAACGGAAUUAGUUUAGGUGAUUAGUUAGGUAAUUAGUUUAGGUGAUUAGUUAGGUAACGGAAUAAUAUUUUUAUUAUGUCGUAACUGAUAAAAUUUAUUUUAAUUUUUUUUAGAUGGCUCCUAGAAGAAAAUCCAGAGCACCUAGUUAUAGAGAUUUGUUUGGCGACGAUGGUUCCGGUACAUCUUCUUCCGGUCCAUCGUCUUCUGGUCCAUCAUCCUCCACCGCAGUUCCAGACUCUCAGCCUUCUCAGAGAGUUGCUUGGAGUCCUCCUCCACCGCAGAUGCCUCCACCGCAAAUGCCUCCACCGCAUAUGCCUCCACCUCCUCCUCCAGCGGCUGCACCUGAGCCUGUCCCAGAAGGUGCAGUUCAUCCGGAUUUGCGUGUGCCUUCAUAUGCCCCAUUCGCGAGAUAUACGGUAGAGGAUUUGCUUGCCCAGCCCGGACGAGAGGGUUUGGAUGUUCUAGACCCCGAUAGACCCCGAGGAACUUAUUGGUAAGUUAUUAAUUUUUAUUACAUAAAAAUUUAAAAUAUUUUUAUUUUCUAACGGUUAAAUUGUUUUCCUUUCAGGUUUGGGGCUAAUAACCGUGUUGGCCGGAGCGUUUCGAAAACGAUUAAGGGUUACUACGACGGGGCAUAUCCGAACUGGAGCAAGACUCCAAAUCACGUUAAGAUCACGUGGUUUAAAAUGUUUGCGGUAAGAUUUUUAAAUUUAAUUAAAUUUUAACUUUUAAAUAUGUAUAUAUUUUUUAAAUAUUAUUAUUAAUUGUAAUUUUUUCAAAUUUUUUGUGUUUCAGCAAAAGUGGCAUUGGUCUUUGGGAAUCACCGAGAUGGUGAAGGCGGAAUUCGUUGCAAAAGCAAAGAUCCGCCUCUGCAACACAGUCUCCGAUUGGAAGGACAAGUGGGAGCUCGACGGGUAUGAGGGAAAGCCCACUGAGCUCACGACGGAUGUGUGGGAUGGCCUCAUCGCCUAUUGGAAGCACCCGUCUUCGAUCAAAAAGGCCAAUUCGUGCUCGGCUUCUCGAAGAACGAAGGAUAAAGAUGGUAAUUUGCCCAUGCUUCACAGAACCGGCCAAAAACCACAUGCAGGCAUCCGUCUAGACGUUGUAAGUUUUGUUUUUAAAUAUUUAUUUUAAAAUAUUCAAUUAAUAUAACUUUUAAUAUUUUUUUUUUGUAGUUGGAGAAGACGGGAGUCUUACCAUCUCUGUCUGACCUAUUCAAGAUGACUCACGCCACAUCCGACGGAGUUUUUGUGGAUCCUGCAUCAGAGAAACUCGCUCAAGCAGUGGCUACUCGGAUUGAAGAACGGGAGACGCAACUAACUCAGGAGUCUCCCGAUGGAUUACCCGUCACAUUGUCCACCGAAGAAGCCGACCGAAUCUUCGAAGAGGUAGUACAACUAAAAUUUUUUUUUUCAUUAUUUUUAAUAACUAUAUUAAUAUAUGUUUUAAUUUUAUAGCUGGCUCCUAGAAAGAAGGGACGAAUAGUCGGUAUAGGCUCUGUUAACCAAGUUGCAAGGGCAACUUCGUCAUACACUUCGAGACGGGAUGAAGAGACUUCUCAGAUGAAAGCUCGAAUGGAUAGCCAGCAGGUUCGUUUAGACUCUCUUGAGGAUUUGCUAGACGUGAUGGCCGUGGGAAACCCGGUUAUGCAGAGAAUGUUGAGUCAGAGACGAGCCGCUCUUGGGUUGCCAGUACGAGAUCCCCAAGAGUCCGAUCCAACCCGUCAACAGCCGAGCAACCCCACCGACUACUUCGAUGAUAUGUAGUUUUUUUAAUAUUUUCGGUUUGUAUUAUGAAUUUAAAUAUUAUGACUUUUAAAUGCUUUUUUAUAUAUGUUUUUUAUUUUCAUAUUUCGUUUUAAAAUUUAAUUUAUUUAAAAUUAAAAUUAUUUAAAAUUCUGAAUUUUAAAUAAAUUCAAAUUAUAAUAUAUUUGAGGUUAAAAACAAUAUUCAAAAUAUAUUAUAAAACGAAACGUCGAUGUAGGCUCGACGUAAACAUUUACAACUAAUUACCGUCGAAAUGAUUUACGAGUCUUUUACAUCGAAGAUUUUACGUGGUCUUUACAUCGAAAUUUUACGUGGAGUUUACAUCGAAACAUUUACGAGGGUGUUACAACGAAACAAUUUACGUGUGCUUUACAUCGAAUCCAUUACGUGGAGUUUACCACGAAAUUUUACGUGUCAUUUACGACGAAUAUCUGCCCUGCGCUUUACGAGGAAUAUAUUUUGUCGUAAACGUAACAAGUCAUUUACGACGAAUCGUCGGUUACGACGGGCGUUUUACGACGAAACGUGUUUCGAAGUUCAUUCGUCGUAACACUCCGUUUACGACGAAGUUACAACGUAUAUUGCCCUCGUAAAAAAUAUGUUUUCUUGUAGUGAGAUUUCUCUUAACAUUUUCCACCAAUUUUUUUAAAAAUAGAUUUCUGAAUAUCAUUUGAUGCAUUGGACGAACUGGCGGUAACAAAGGUCAUGAUGCUUUCAGUUUUAUGGAGUUCGCUUUUUCGUGGAUUUGGGUUUAUGAUUUUGUAAGCAAACAAAGUUUUUUUUUGAAAAUUUUCCUUUAAUAUUCUACUAGAUGGAUCUUCCAACAAUGUUAACAUAAAAUAUCGUUACAUAAAAAAAAAGAUAUCGUUACAUAUAUUUUAUAUGAUUCAUGUACCUAUAUUUUUGUAUAAAAUUCUAUAUACAUGUAAUGACAUUUCUACUCUGAAAAUGUUCGUGGCAUCUUUUUCCAUGAUUGAAUUUGUAUGGUACACUUAAUAGAGUUCUAAAGAUGUGUAGGUUAUUGAAGACCGUUUCGGAGACCGAUUCCUAACUACAAACAUCUUACAAAUGAUUUUGUAUUGGAAAUUAAGUAUAUAUAUUAAAAUCAUAUUAGUUUUAUAUAUUUUUAACAAGUACCAGGUUUCUUUUGCUUUUGGAUAAACUGUAACAAGUCGUUGUCCCUUGUCAUCAAAAUUUCAAGUAUUCCCUUGCACGAUAUGUAAACUGCAGAAAAAAAAAGAAAAGAGAAGGAUAUAAUAAACAUGUAUAUUUUGAAUAAAACCUUGCACGACAACUUCAGUUAGAUCGAUAAGCAUUGACUUCUACGUUUACGUUUGCGUUAUUUCUCAUUAACAAUGAAGAAUAUGCUUUACACUUAUUCUCUUUGGCAUUUAACUUCUCUUGCUUAUUUUAUAGUAUAUUCUUGACGAGUUUUUAAAAACAUCAAGAUACUAAAAAUAUAUACAACCCAUGACUUCAAGUUUCUACUGUUAGACCAUUUCAAAUCAAUCUCCCCAUCUCAAAAUGGGAAACUGUCUUUCAAUCACGGAUCCUUCUCCCGAAGCUGUAUCAGAGAAGAUUCUCAAAGCACUUCCCGUGGAAACUCCUUUCAAGUUUCCCUCACCACUGCCUACUUUGCCUCAAGGUUUGUACUAUAUAUGGUUCUUGUCCAUCUCUUGUGAGAAUAUAAAACUUCUACAGAGUUUCGAGGAAACAUGAAUAAUAUAAAAGACUUGGAUCAGUCCAGCCAGUUGGUUUUAAGUUGAAAAUUCGUAAAACUUAACAUUUAUUGGUUUGAUGAUUUUUAUUUGACUUGAAUCUUCAGGUAACGGGUUUGCAAAACGAACCAUUGACUUGGGAGGUCUUGAGGUUAGCCAAGUUUCGACAUUCAACAAGGUCUGGUCCACUUAUGAAGGUGGACCAGACAACCUCGGAGCAACCUUCUUUGAACCAUUAUCGGUCCCUUCCGGUUUCUCCAUCCUCGGUUACUACGCUCAACCAAACAACCAUCAACUAUUCGGAUGGGUACUCACAGCUAGGGAUCUCUCAAGCGACACCUUGAAAUCGCCUCUAGAUUACACCCUCGUAGCAAACACCGAGUCACUCAAGAUCAAACAAGACGGACCUGGAUACAUCUGGCAGCCCGUGCCGCCUGAUGGAUACCAAGCCGUUGGUUUAUUAGUCACAACCACCUCUCAAAAGCCUCCUCUAGACAAACUACGUUGUGUUAGGUCAGACUUAACCGAACAGUGUGAAGCUGACACAUGGAUAUGGGGAAUUAACGGAGUCAACGUCUCAAACCUAAGACCGAACAUUAGAGGGACACAAGCUACAGGAGUCUGUGUCGGAACAUUCACAUGGCAACCUCAAAACUCAUCUCCUCCAUCUUUAGCUUGCUUGAAGAACACGAAACUAAACUUCUCUACCAUGCCAAACGGGUCCCAAAUCGGUGUCUUGUUCAACACGUAUUCUCCAUUGAUCCAUCUCCACCCAGACGAAGAAUACCUACCUUCCUCUGUCAACUGGUACUUCAGCAACGGUGCCUUGCUUUACAAGCAAGGUCAAGAAUCAAACCCUAACCCUAUCGAAUCCAACGGAGCAAACCUUCCACAAGGCGGAUCUAACGACGGUUCAUACUGGCUAGACCUGCCUAGAGACAAGAAGGCCAAAGAGAGAGUUAAGAAGGGUGACUUGCGGAACACGAAAGCGUAUCUCCACAUCAAACCAAUGCUCGGAGCAACGUUCACCGACAUAGCCAUCUGGCUAUUCUACCCUUUCAAUGGUCCCGCACGUGCCAAAGUCAAGUUCAUCAACCUCCCGUUAGGGAGGAUCGGCGAACACAUUGGUGAUUGGGAACACGUGACGUUACGUAUAAGCAACUUCACCGGAGAGCUAUGGAGAGUGUUCUUGUCUCAGCACAGCGGAGGAGUUUGGCUCGACGCUUGUGACCUAGAACCCAUGACUUCAAGUUUCUACUGUUAGACCAUUUCAAAUCAAUCUCCCCAUCUCAAAAUGGGAAACUGUCUUUCAAUCACGGAUCCUUCUCCCGAAGCUGUAUCAGAGAAGAUUCUCAAAGCACUUCCCGUGGAAACUCCUUUCAAGUUUCCCUCACCACUGCCUACUUUGCCUCAAGGUUUGUACUAUAUAUGGUUCUUGUCCAUCUCUUGUGAGAAUAUAAAACUUCUACAGAGUUUCGAGGAAACAUGAAUAAUAUAAAAGACUUGGAUCAGUCCAGCCAGUUGGUUUUAAGUUGAAAAUUCGUAAAACUUAACAUUUAUUGGUUUGAUGAUUUUUAUUUGACUUGAAUCUUCAGGUAACGGGUUUGCAAAACGAACCAUUGACUUGGGAGGUCUUGAGGUUAGCCAAGUUUCGACAUUCAACAAGGUCUGGUCCACUUAUGAAGGUGGACCAGACAACCUCGGAGCAACCUUCUUUGAACCAUUAUCGGUCCCUUCCGGUUUCUCCAUCCUCGGUUACUACGCUCAACCAAACAACCAUCAACUAUUCGGAUGGGUACUCACAGCUAGGGAUCUCUCAAGCGACACCUUGAAAUCGCCUCUAGAUUACACCCUCGUAGCAAACACCGAGUCACUCAAGAUCAAACAAGACGGACCUGGAUACAUCUGGCAGCCCGUGCCGCCUGAUGGAUCCCAAGCCGUUGGUUUAUUAGUCACAACCACCUCUCAAAAGCCUCCUCUAGACAAACUACGUUGUGUUAGGUCAGACUUAACCGAACAGUGUGAAGCUGACACAUGGAUAUGGGGAAUUAACGGAGUCAACGUCUCAAACCUAAGACCGAACAUUAGAGGGACACAAGCUACAGGAGUCUGUGUCGGAACAUUCACAUGGCAACCUCAAAACUCAUCUCCUCCAUCUUUAGCUUGCUUGAAGAACACGAAACUAAACUUCUCUACCAUGCCAAACGGGUCCCAAAUCGGUGUCUUGUUCAACACGUAUUCUCCAUUGAUCCAUCUCCACCCAGACGAAGAAUACCUACCUUCCUCUGUCAACUGGUACUUCAGCAACGGUGCCUUGCUUUACAAGCAAGGUCAAGAAUCAAACCCUAACCCUAUCGAAUCCAACGGAGCAAACCUUCCACAAGGCGGAUCUAACGACGGUUCAUACUGGCUAGACCUGCCUAGAGACAAGAAGGCCAAAGAGAGAGUUAAGAAGGGUGACUUGCGGAACACGAAAGCGUAUCUCCACAUCAAACCAAUGCUCGGAGCAACGUUCACCGACAUAGCCAUCUGGCUAUUCUACCCUUUCAAUGGUCCCGCACGUGCCAAAGUCAAGUUCAUCAACCUCCCGUUAGGGAGGAUCGGCGAACACAUUGGUGAUUGGGAACACGUGACGUUACGUAUAAGCAACUUCACCGGAGAGCUAUGGAGAGUGUUCUUGUCUCAGCACAGCGGAGGAGUUUGGCUCGACGCUUGUGACCUAGAGUUCCAAGGAGGAGGAAGCAACAAGCCUGUGGCGUACGCGUCGCUUCACGGACACGCAAUGUAUGCUAAACCUGGACUUGUGUUGCAAGGAGACGGUGAUGUUGGGAUAAGGAACGAUACGGCGAAGAGUAAGAAGGUGGUUGAUACGGGGUUAGGGUACGAGGUGGUUGCGGCGGAGUAUGAAGGCGGAGGAGUGGUGGAGCCGCCGUGGCUGAAUUAUUACAGGAAGUGGGGACCUAAGAUUGAUUAUAGCGUUGAUGAUGAUGUUAAGAGGGUGGCGAGGCUGUUGCCUGGAGCUUUGAAGAAGGCUUUUGACAACUUUGCGAAGAAGAUUCCUGAUGAAGUGUAUGGUGAAGAUGGGCCUACUGGGCCUAAACUCAAGGGAAACUGGGCUGGUGAUGAAAAAUGAUGAUUUUAUUAUUUAGUUUUCAUGGAAGUUGUUUGGUUUGAUUCUUUGUAAUAUACUGUAUAUCACAUUCUUUGUAUGUUCUAUGUAAAAAGGUUAUGCUAACACUCUAUUUGAUUUAUCUAUUUGUUUUAUGUUACACACUGAUUUCUCGAGCUCUGUUUCAUCAGUUGUAUAACAUACAAGGAUGUGAUAAAAUUUAUACAAACUUCUCGGAAACAAAGAACUAAACUCAAAAUAAUAUUGAAUAGUACUAUUUGAUUAUAAUGAAGCAGCGAUUACUCUUGGAUUUGAAUCUGAGAAAUCGCUGACAUAACCCAGACGAUCUUCUCCUUAAGUCAUACGACUCAAUCCAAAUCCAUAAGCUGACUAACUAUGAAGAAAACAACAAGGAUUUAUAAAAAGACUAUAACUGAAACAGAGUUUAUUAUUUUAAUUAUCUCGUGCUACGUCACCAGAAAUGUUACAGAUUUGAUUCCUUUCUGUUUAUUCUAGUAGCAACGGUUGGCAAAGAGGCUUUAGUAUUGUGCCAUCAAGUUCCAUAAAAUACGUGACAACGACUCCAAUAAAAGAGCAUACAGCUGGGACAAGUCCUAAUCCAUAUCUUGUCACCGAAAAGUCAAAACUAUGUGUGCUGGUUACGACAUCUUCGGGUGAAGUCCCGUCUGCACAAUAUAUCCAAAUCACACGUCCAUCAACAAUUUUAUCCGAGUUGAGAUAAUAUUAGUACCUAAGAAGAAAACUUACUUUUGUGUGACUGAAGAACAUAUAAAGCAAUGCCACAUGACAUUUUAUCUAAGAAACUUAAAGACCCACAAACGAAAGCACAUCCACCUAGUUCUGAACCAACCAACACACUCUGCAUACUAAUUGCAGUCACCUGUAAAGAUUAAGAUUAGUCAAAAGAUAUGUUAGAGUUUCCUUACAUCACAUAAAGACAUCAGAUAUAGUAGAGGAAUGUCUUACCAGAAUCAAUGCAUUUGCUAUGCCGAUUAAGACAGAGAUCGCAUACAUGAAAGAGUUAAUGCUUCUUGGCAAAAAGAGGACAGAUACACCGCAGAACAUCCAAAUGAUACCACCAGCACAAUAAUAGGCCUUUAGGCGUUUCCCAUUCCAAGGAAUCUCCUACAUUAAUGGGAAUAUAUAGUUACAUAACAUAAAGGUUUUAACAAUGUUUAAGAAAUCGCUAAGCGGUAGUUAAACGUUUUAUAUGCGAUUAUUGAUUAUGUAGGUGUCUAAAUCGAUUUUUUGAACGCCUAAGCCUUUUUUUUAAAUCGUUUUAGAAAAAUUGUUUUUGUCCACUUUUCCAGCUAAAUCCAUUUUUAGAACACUUGUUUUUAGAGAUGGGGAAGACGAAUAAGGUUUGAACUUCUUGUAUACCUGAAGCAUAACCGACACAACGAAGCUGCAGAUAUAGAUUAUUGCAGGAAUCUGAAAAUGAAAACAUUGGUUCAGACAGGAUCUCUGUACUUUCCGAUUGCCUCUUUUGAGGAAGAAUUAAUGAUAACUAUUAUUAAAAAAAAAGUUCGAUGAUCAACAGAGAUUCUUCUUUCACUUACCAGAGCUUUAGCGGAUUGAGCCAUUUGCAAGUCAUCAAUAACAAAGAAUGCAAGAUAUGCCUGUGGAUAUAAAUGUAAUCCAGGAAUGUGAGUAUUAAUAUAGAUAGAAGAGAAGCAAGAAAGUGAGAAACGAUACAUAAACUAACCUGGGAAACAUUCAAGACUAGUCGUGUGAGGAGAUAAACCAUAGCGACUUGAUAAUAUAGAAUUUUACGGAACCAAUAGGCCCAUGGUAUUCUUGCUCGGUUAGUUUCCCUUAGAGUUAUACGCAGCCUUUGAACAUAAAAAGAAGACCAACUCAUUUUCAAUAAUAAUAUCAUCUAACCAUGCAUGAAACUUUGGUUAAAGUUGAUUUAAGCAUUUUAGAGAAAUGUUUGCAUUACCGUGGUUCUUUUGUCCCCAUAAGAAAUACGACCACAAAGCAGCAGCCAACGGUAAUGCAUGAAUAAGCAAUCCAACGAUACUAUAGACUUAAAGACAGGCUAAUUAGAAUCAUAUCUACAGGCAUUAACUCUGGCGUAUAUAAAAACAAUCGCGUAUAAGGCUAUAAAAAACACAAACCUGUGAUUCAGUGUUUUCUUUUGUAUCAGCCUUGCUGACACCAAAUACAACUAAAGCAAUCGCGUAUAAGGCUAAAUUAGCAACCUGAAAACACACAGUCCAAGGAAAAGUCAAGAACUAAAAAAAAUAAAUAAUAAUAAUAUAUAUAAGAGCCAUAAUAAGACUAUAGGGGAAAGAGCUGACCAUGCUAAACGCAUUACGAGAGCUUGUUAGUGCUACUCUGCUUGUUGAGUUCAGUGUAAUGUAAUUGACCAUAGCCCUAAAGAGUAAAGAUAUGAAAAUGAAUACUUACUGAUGUUAACCUAAAGAGAAGAUAAAAUGAAGAAAAGAGAAGAGUGUUUUACAUGUGGGAAACCUGAGUAGCUGCCCAUCCUAUAUUGAAGAUAGCUGCAAACAUGCUGUACGAUAAUGUUUCUAGCGUUAAAGAGUUACUAUGGAGGAUAGUACAAGGCAAACACCCGCCAAAAACCGAUGAAAAUGAGAUAGCCACUAAUAGGGACCCUGCGGCGUGCCAGAUUUUGAAAUGCCCAAAUCUAUCAAUCUGCAUGUUAAGAAGACAGUGAUGUGACAAUAUUUACAUUAACUGAAACCAACAUAGCCGUAAAAUGACAUGAUUACUAAGAGAACCUAAAUGUCCGAAAAGAGUUGCUUGAACACAUUAUAGCAAUUACCAAUAAAGAGAUGGUUAUUGAAACCAAAACAAACUCUCACAACAAAGAAACUAAACCCAAAGUUUGUGUUACUCAAAAGAUUCAAGCUUAUAAAGAAGUUACCGAUUCACCAACGAAGACAGUAGCAAAACCAUCAGCAACUUGACCAGAGAGCAUGACGAUGGCAGCAUCCCUACAGAACAAACAAAAAACUACAUUUGAUGAUCUCACUAGUAGGAAUGGAUUUUAUGUGAAGAGUUGACUUACAAACCUUGGGGAGAGACCAAUCUGAGUCAAGAACAGGAGAAGGUAAGUGAACCAACAAGAAGCAGUAAUGUCAUUGAGCAUAUGCCCAACUCCAUAGUAAAACACAGACAACCUUCCAAGUGGUUUUGUGAAUGAUACCUCUUCACUCUCUCCAACAAUAACCAAUGACGCCAUCAACCAAUCGUUUAUGUUCUUCUUGCUCCACUAUUUAAUUGAAUAUUAACGACGGAAGAAGAAGAAUAUAUAUAUAAGCAAAAAUAUACAGCAUUUAGUAAAAAUAAUAUUACUACUAUUAAAUAGAAAAUUUAAACGAUCGUGGAGAAACAGGGGAGAUAAAAUUAAAUAGUCUGCGAAAUCAUGCUGUCAUCAUUUGUUCUUAUUACAGGUUUUUCGACAUAAAUUAGUUAUUCACUGUUCCUCGUACUUCCUAGUUUUUUCUUUUUAUCGUACUUCCUAGUUUGCCUAAUGUUUAUGUUAUAUUCGGUAGCCAAAUUAUCUACAAUUUAGUUGGCAAUAUAACCAAAAACUAUACGAGACUGAAACGUAACUCGUCUCGUAUUUUGCAUCAUACAAAAGAAACUUGUCAUCAACGUUUCUCAUUAUUUUAGUCAAAAAAAAAAAAAAAAACGUUUCUCAUUAUUCAUUACUAGCUUCUGAAAAGGUUAUUUAACAAAAUUCGUGUGAUUAAAUCGUAUUUGAUAUCAGCUAUAUGAUUCGUAAAUGCAUGUCUGCUUCCUUCCUGGUACGCAGUUAAUGUUCAUAUUGACGAGAAUACGAUUGUACUGUUAUUUAGAAUCGUCGUGAACAUAAAAAUUCACAUGAAAACAUUAUGCAUCUUCUUCUCUUUUUGUUUUCAAGCCCUUAUUUUCAAAACAUUACACUACACAUAGCACAUCGUCAAGUACAAGGAAAGAAUAGAAUACUUUUCCUAAGGAGCAUUAUUAUUUUCUGCGAUAUUAUGAAAUUCAAACGGUCAAACCUAACAUGGGAGCCUGCAUGGAUGUAUUUUUGUACUUCUUCCCAAAAAAAUUUCUUAUAGUAAGUACUUAUGCUAUAAUAUUUUUAGAUUCUUUUUAGUUUUUUUAAAUUAUAUAAAAUAUAUAUGAAAAUGAUCAAUAAACAAAUUCUUAAAAUUUAAGCAAUAUUUAUGAUUAAAGAACACAUAAUUAGAUAUUUUGACAAUCUCUUUAGACUAAUAAUUUUUUUUCUAUGUUUAUAUGUCGUUUUCCAAAUAUUUUUGAUGAACUUUGAACAAUUAAUCUUUCCUUUUCAUGGUUUAUUUGUGAUUAUGAUUUUUUGUUUUCUUUAUUGUAUUUUUGUUGUGAUCUGUCAUUAUCCAUAAUUUCUUAAAUAGAAAUCUAAGAGCAUCUCCAAUUGUACACAAAACUUUACUCUAUAUUUCACUUUAAAAUAGAGUAACUCUAUUAUAAAUUUGAAUUUGUUUUAAUGGUUCACUCUAUAAUUGAGUUAUUUUUAUAAUAGAAUGAAAUAUAGAGUAAUGUUGCUUUUUCACUCUAUAAGUACUCAACUAGUUAGAUGAUGUCAGAUUUUAUAAAUAAAAGAAAAUUAUAUUCACUAAAUUAUAAAAUUGUGAUAAACUCAAAUGUUAUGUAUUAAAAGCAUGUUUUGCUAUUAUAUUAUUUAUAUAUAUCAUUUUUAUACGAAGCUAAUGAUAAUAUUACAACACUACGAAGAAAUGGGCAAUGAGUUCGAAUGUUUUUUUUUUGAACUGAAUGAGUUCGAAUGUUAGCCAUCGUUUACGUAACCUUUGAGCGUAACUCGUACCUGGCAAAAGAGAUUGUCCGACCAUGGUUGUUACCAUCGUCGGUUCUUGCGGUUGGAGACAUGCUGGGGUUCAGGGGCCGAUCCAAUGGCCAUUUACUAUUUUCGUUUUGGAUGGGCUUUUUCUUCUUCAAGAUUUUGGUGAAAAAUUAAAAUUCGAUAUUUUUGAAAAAUAUUUCGUCGCCUGAGAGAUUCGAACUCUCGCGGGGAAACACCAUGUACUUAGCAGGCACACGCCUUAACCACUCGGCCAAAGCGACGUUUUGUUAGACACUGAAAUUAUACUUUAAUGUUAAAACUAAAAUAGCUUCUUUUGCAGAUUUACAAAGGCUCUCAAAUGAUAAUCCAUAGUCUGAGAAUAAUUUAUAAGAAACUAGAGAAAAUUCUGAUUUAAAAACUACUUCUCAACCACCACUUCUUCGAUGUCCUCUUCACAGUCAAUACUAGCGACGGAGGAGACAACUAACUGGAGCUACUGCAGGUUGCGGCUAGUGGAUGCCAUUAUAUUCUGUGAUUUUGACCAUAUCACCUUGAUGUAAUAUACAUUUCCAAAUCUAUAUGCAUUUACACAGUUUUGAAAUGUUUUUUCACAUAUUAAUUUCUUAAUAAUAUUUUUUUCUCUUUAUAAUGAGUUUUUCAAUUUAAAUUGCAUGAAAAUUAAAACGUUACAGGACUUUCUUCAAUUAGCUAAAGUGGCCCAAAUACACAUAUUAGUAGAGAACCAAUAAAUAAUGUGAGAAUACAAAAUUUCUUAAUGAAUAGUUAAUUUCUUAUAUAAACAAACUCGUAUUUACAAAUUACACUGGACAUGUUUAUUGAGUGAAACCUAAAUUAAUGAACUCCACUCUCUCUAGUUAUUUAAAUCGACGAAUGAUAUGGUUUCUAGUUCAUGCCCCCAUUCACAUACAUUUUGCAUUCAAAAGUUGGCAUAUAAGUAGAACGAGUCCUCCAGUCCGCGUAAGAGCAUUAAAAAUAAUGACUACAAAGAUUUUGCUCCCCCUAGAUUUAUAAUAAUUGAAAAUACAGCUAUUUAGCAAAAUAUCGAAUCUCUAAGAUUUAUAUAACCAAACACGCUAAUAUCAAACACACUUUCAUAUUUAUAGAUGACAAUAAAUAAGCUUUGACUUAUAAAAUUGAUUUAUGUUUAAGUUAAAUAUUAAAAAUUAAUUAUGACCUCUCCUUAUAAAUUACAACCAAAUGUAUUGCUUACAAGAAUUAACAAAACAUGGUCAAAAUCACAUAAUAUAAUGAUAUUUCGUUUGUUUUGUUUAAAAAAAAAAGAAGGUAUUUCGCAUGAGUAAAAGCUGAAUUUUUACACUUUGGCCAGAGAUAUAAAGAAAGGUUGUAAACUCAUAGACUUAAGAGAUUUUUUGGUUUAGUCUGUAUGUGAUUUUGUAGAAAUAAUAGCGCAUAUUGAUAAAUAUGCAACACUUGCUUUAGCCUUUGUUUGUGAAUUGUGGUGACAUAAGUCCAUCCCUACAAGUCAUGUAUUUGUAACGACUUGAAAGUAAAAUAUUUUCGGAAGACAUCUCGAUAUAUAAUCUGCAUUUCAGUCCGGACUCCGAAUAUCCAUAUAUAUGAUCUAAAUUGGGUUUCUGAAAUAAAAAUAAAACACAACUUACGUCAAGUCAACGGAGGUUAAAUCCACCCUGUCGCUCUUGUUUGGUCCUUUGGCAAAACAAAAGUCAACUACUAUUUUAGGUGCUUGAAACUUUUUAAAAGGUUUGUAUAUUAUUUUUCCUUUUGUAAAAAUGUCAGCUUUUCAGUGCAAAAUUUUAAAUAACCAGUUUACUAGAAACAAAAAACAACGGGAAGACAUGUUUCCUUAGGGUUUUUUAAACACCAUGACAUAUAUAUAUAUGCGUCGACACCUCAGACAUGUGUAGAUGAAUGAGCUCACGAAUAUAUUUAUAUAUGUAUAUGUCUAAGGAGUUUAUAUAUAUGUAAGUGUCUAAAUACAUAGAGAUGUGAACCAAUAAGAUAUUUAUAAACUAUUUAAGUGUGGUAGAUUAGUUUGAUUGGUUAAGGUAAACUAUUUUUGGUUAAUCAAGUCGGAUUUCAACCUAAAUAAGAUGAUAUUAAGACUAGUAAUCUGAAUCUAGCACUGGAACUUUCACUUUUAUUACCUUGUAGUAUGGUUUAAUGGUUUUUGUUAUUACAUCAUCAAUUUUACCAAAAAAAAUUAUUAUUACAUCAUGAAAUCGAAGCAAAUUAACUAAAAGUAGGAUUAUAACUAUGUCGGUUUUCAAGUGACAGUUUCCUGAGUCAGAUUUUGACCCCACAAAUUAUAGAAAUCAGUAUUAAAACUGCAUAAGAUUUGAAUAUUUGAAUAUUGUUAUAAUUUAUAACAAAAUUAAAUUCUAAAUACGAUGUCAUUAGCCAACAUAAUAUAUGAAUCAUUUAAAGAUGCAGAAACGCCAUAUAGCAUACCAAUUAAUUAGCAGUGGCAAUUAGACAGUAAUAACACUUGUAAAGAGAAAUAUACAUAUACCGAUAAGUCUGAUAUACAUACAUAGUAUAAAAACUGAAACAGCAUCAUAAUUAAUUAGUUUUCAUAACUACAUGCCGACAAUAACACCUUUUCACGCUCCAAAAAAUUCAAAUUAGUUUUGUUUUUUUUGAAACAAAAAUCAAAUUAAAUUGUGACCAAAGAUAUGGUUCAUGCUACCUCUAUGCAUAUGUACUUAAAUGAUAUGUAUAGUAUUUUAUAAUAGUAUAGUUUAGAUUUCUCGUCAGUUGGUUGGUUGAUAACAAAUUCCUCGUAAAAUAAAACUAAAAAUGUUCUCAUAUAAUACACUUAGACUUUAUUUAAAUCAAGUUGGUGUGUGUCAUGGAGGGCAGGUCCAUAGGUGUUUCGUCCAACACAUUAUUUACCAUUUUGAUAUUCAAGUUUGUUAUUAAUAAAAUGUUUUUUGACUAACCAACAACCCUAUACUUGAAAAUUCUACAUAAAUAUAUAUAACCAACCGCCGCAGUAUUAUUCCACGACUUGCCAAUUAUUUUUGUUCAAACAGCACAUUUCACAAAAGAAAACACAUCUGAUCUUUUCUCAUUCGUUUAUAACUUUUCUCGUCUGUGUUUCUAGUUUUAUGGUGAGAGAAUCAAUGGAGGUUACUCAAUAUCAUCAAGGUAAUUUUAAUAAAGGUUCGAGUUCUAGGGUUUCCAUGAACAAGAAUUCACAAGUAAUAUCCAAGAUCAAGCCCAAGAUUCGCAUCAUCCAUAUAUUCGCACCGGAGGUCAUCAAGACCGACGUCAAGAACUUCCGUUCACUCGUACAAAGUCUAACCGGAAAACCAGCAGCCGUAGAGGUCAAAACCGGUAAAAGGAGUGCCAGACCGAGAAUUCCCACGUCUCAAGAACCGGUUUGCGGAGAUCAUCAGCCGGUUAACAGGCGUACUAGUUUCACCGGUUUAUUAGCAAACGGUGGAAACCAUGAGGUAAAAGAAGAAUGGGGAUCCGGUGAUCAGAAUACUAGGAACACAAACACUUACUUUGACCUAGAAGGUUUGAUCCAAGAUGUUGGAGAAGAUUACUUCUCUUCGUUUCCUAUGAGAUCUUCUCCUUCUUCUUCACAAGUUGAAGGGUUCACCUUCAGCAACAACAACACCAGCAACUGCUUCGAUACAAAGGGUCACAAUAUUUCAUAAGUAACCAAAGGUUUUAUCUUCUAGCUAGGGUUUCUCUGAUCCUUCAAUCACAUUGGUUGAUGAGAUCUAAUCGUUUGGGGAAUGAAAGCAAGCGAAAAUUGUCAUGUUUUUGGGAUUUUCAUUUUGAUGGGUAUGAUGAGAAACUGAAACUUUUGGUAGACUGACUUUGCCAAGGUUGAGGGUUGUAAUGGAGAGUUUAAUUUAUGUGCAGUCCUUCUCGGAGAAGUGACUGUAUCUAAUCGUCGUGGGUAAAAAACCCCAAGUUAUUUUGAUAUGUAACUUCAUUGAUGUGCUACUAUUGGAUGUGUAAUAAUUCUUGGUGUGUGUGCUUGAUUAUCUGUUGUAUUGUUGGACAAAAGUUUGUAUGGUUAGAACAGAGAAUGACUAGCUAGUGUUUCGUUGUUAUAGAUAAUCGAAUGUGUUACAUAUCAAUGGUUAACUUACUCAAACAUACUUUAAAAUGUGAGGAAUUUAACUUACAUUUACACAUACAUACAUUUCAGCACAAUAUUUCGUCUUCUUGGCUAAAAAUAGUUUGGGAAAAUUGCUAAAAGAGAACAAAAAAACAAGGUUGUUGUCCCCUUGGUAUAAAACCAACAUGAAGUUGUCUCAAUAGUAUAAUUUUUCUCAUAAUCCCAAAACUAUCCCUAUAUUUAAUCUAAUUAAACACAAUUUAAAAGUUAAUUUGAAUUUAAAAUAGAAGUUAAUGGAAAAAAUGAAAAAAAAAAUUGAAAGGCAAUCGAAAAAAAAAAAACGGUAUAGAUAUGCAUCAUAGAGAACAAGAGUUUGUGAGAAAAAUCAAAAGAAAAACUAUGGGAAAACCAUAGAUUGAUGAAGAAGAGAAGGGAUAAUCAUUUUUUUCUUUAAUUUUUUCAAGUAAAAUCGACCAUAACACGUUUUAGGAAGUUAGAAUAUUUUUAGGAGAUUUUUAUAAUAUUUCCUUAACUGAAAUUUCAUUAAUUUUCGCAAAAAAUCAGGUAUUCUUAUCCGUAGAAGGCGACUUCUAAAAGUUUAGAAGAAUGAUAAAAAUUUUGAAUACAUUUUCUACUUUGAGUAGACGUAAGAGUACAUUGUAGAAAACACAUUCCCUAAAAUUUAGAAUACUUUAUAAACGUAGAAGAUGCAUUCGGAAGGAAAGUGGAUACCUUUACGAUUAGUAGAAUGCACAUUCCUCUUUUUUAGAAAUUUAGUAAAUAGUAAAAUGGACGUUCUAAAAGAAGUAGAUGAACGUGUUUAUUUUAGAAAUUGUUUUCUACUAUACUAUUUUAUGUUGAAGACGCAUUCUACUUUUAGUAGAACGUAUCUUAAAAAUCUUAUUUACCAAGUUUUUGAACAAAACAAAAUUACCAGCUUGUGUAUAUGGAUGUUUUAUUAAUUGUUUAUAUUUUUAAUAAUUUUUUUGAUUCUCAAAAUUAUUUAUUUCAUUAGUUUUCAGAAAUACAAAGGGUAAAAAGGAGAAAAAAUGGACAAAACUAGUUUUAUACCAAAGGGACAACAACCUGGUUUUUUUAUUCUCUUUUGGCAAUUUUCCCAAAAAUUUGAAAUUCAACACCAACUGUUACAGUUUGUUUCAUCCUCUUUGUUAUACCAAAACAAUAGGUCAAUAUUCGGUACAUGGAAUUUUGGCAACAUAUUUAACCGGUUAUAGUUCAAAAAAACAUUUAACCGUUAAACCAAAAAAAACUUGUAAUAUAAAAAUAUAGAAAACACGUAUAUAUUCAUCAUCUUAACCAUAUGGAAAUUUGUCCCAAAAAAAGAUAAAUUCCUUAGAAUAACCUUUUUAAAGUUUUUGUCACAAAAAUAAUCAAUGAAAAAAUGACCAAAAUAAAUUUUAUUAAAAGAUAAAAAUAUAUUUUUACCCUAUAAUUAACUAAUCUAUACUUAGGGUUUAGAGUAAAAGGUGGUGUUUUGGAGAUAGAGUUUCAAAUUUAAAAAACAAAAAAUAAAUAUUAAAAUUUUCAAAAUAAAAUGAAGCUAUUUGGUCAUUUUAUUUCUUGAGUGCUAUUUUUGUGACAAAAUUUUAAAAAGGAUUAUUUGAGAUAAUUGUCAAAAACAAAAAAUGGAAAUUAUAAAUAGCUGGGACGUUUUAAACUUUUAAUAGACGGUAAACGUUCAAACAAUUGGGUUGUCUUCUUUAGAUCCUUACAUAUUUGUUACUGACGUUAGAUGAGAACUAGAAGAUCGUGACCACAACACAAUGUUAGUAUCCCAAGGGUGAAGGGCCAGAUAAAGAUGACUUUACACAGGUUCAAGAAUCCAUUUGUUCAAAAUGAGUCUGAUGAUCAUGUUUGGUUGAACAAGCUUGGAUAAAAGAAAGAGACAACUUCAAACCUGGCUUUUGUAGGUACAGAAACGUUCGUUCCUACUUAGCUGCUUCAAAUAAAUAUGAUAUAACCAAAAUAAUUUCCCAAAAGGUAAAACGCAAAAACGCCACCCAAAAGUCACAAGCUGACCUGUCUACCCGUUUGAUUCCGGUUAAAUGCAAGAUCCCUUGCCCCGGUUUAGUUUGGUUUGCCUUCUCAACGUUUCCUAAGGUCAAAAUAGGAAUUUUAAAUAUAAUCCAAAUGGCAUUUUCUCGCCGUUUAUAUGAAAAGAUCAUUUUGCGCAUCACAAGUGUGUCCUCAACAAUCUCCUUCUUCUCGAUUCGCCGUCACGCUCCUCCCGAAUCUCUGGUAUGUUCUUCGCUCAUUCCUAGCGAUUCUUACUCUUCCGUGAUUCUAGGAGAACAACUAGUCCUUGAUUUUUUCAUCUGGAAUCUCAGAAUUGGCUUCGAUGAUCGAAUCUCUGAAUUUUAGAUUAAGGCGAUAAACUUAUUCGGUUGUUUAUAUAUUCCUGAUUCGGUUAGUGUUGUUGAUUGCUUGAGCUCACACGGAUCGAGGUUGUUUUCGAAAUUAAAUAUUUGGAUACUGUUACAGGUUUUGAGUAUUGGAGAGAAUGGUGUUUUUCCGCAGCGUAACGGCCUUAGCUAGGCUGAGGUCUCGCGUUGUGAGUUUCUUUACAUCACACUGAGAUUUUGAGGUUUGUUUUUCGUUUGGUUUGAUCAUGCUAACCAACUGGUGAUUGGAUCUAUAUGUGAUUAGGGGCAACAAUCUUCGCUCAGCAAUUCCGUUAGAUGGAUUCAGAUGCAGAGCUCUACCGAUAUGGUAGUUAUUUUGAUUGCAAUGUGAUCUUCUAGUGUAUACAUUUUUUUUUGUCUCAAACUUACAUAAAAAAAAACCAGGACUUGUAGUCUGGUGGUAAUUAACUUGAACCCAAUACGGUGAAGCCACCAGGUUCGAGUCCCGGCCACCACUGGGAAAUUAACAUUUUGGCAUCGCGACCGACACGUGGUAACACUGAUUAGUCUGGACCGCUUCUGUGGAGCCAGAAUACGCCUGUAUAAUUAAAAAAAAACAACUAAGAUCGAAAAUGCUUAGUAAUAAUGAUUAUGUGUUCUUGUUUUUACUGAGAUUAUUUUUUCGGCAUGCUGCUUGUGGAGUCUUUGCUCAUUUUUGUUUUAAAUGAUGUCAAUGCAGGACCUCAAGUCCCAGCUGCAAGAGUUGAUUCCGGAACAACAGGUUUAGCUUUUUACCCCGUUUACAUGAAAUGGAUUUUUGUUAUGCUGACACAUUUUUUACACUUAAUUUUGUAUAAUAUGGAUUUAUGCUACCUCUUUUGAUUUUCUAGCUUCCUCUUUCCUCAUAGAAAUUUUUUCCAAUUUCAGGACCGUUUGAAGAAACUGAAGUCAGAACAUGGGAAGGUCCAACUGGGAAACAUCACUGUUGAUAUGGUAAAAUAACAUGAUGAAUUACGUGGUUGUUUGUUUUUUUUUUCCAUAGAAGUUACCCCUUGAAUGAGUCAUUUCAAUUUCCUUCUAAAUGAAGGUAAUUGGUGGGAUGAGAGGGAUGACUGGAUUGCUCUGGGAAACCUCAUUGCUUGACCCGGAAGAGGUACUGAUAACGUUUUGUAUAUCUUUACAAUUGUUUGGUUAGAUCCUAGUAUAGAAUACAUCAAGUUCUCUUCCUUCCCUUUCAAAGGCUCUUGUUACAAUUAUUUUAUCAUUAUUUUAGGGAAUACGCUUUAGGGGCUUGUCAAUUCCUGAGUGCCAGAAAGUAUUGCCUGCUGCUCAGUCUGGAGGAGAGCCGUUACCCGAGGGUCUUUUGUGGCUUCUUUUAACUGGAAAGGUGCGCCUUUUUGUACAUUUUUAUAAGUUGGUUAGGGACAUGUACACACGAUUAGUUUGCCUCAAUAUAAUAUCCUUCUUUACCCAUUUUUCGCAUAGGUACCUAGUAAAGAGCAAGUUAAAGCACUAUCACAAGACUUGGCAAACCGUGCUGCUGUGCCAGGUUUGCAAAAAAAAAGACAAGUCUGUUUAUUUUUUGUGUGGUUUUCGUGUUACACUUCUACUCAUUUCCUGAUCUCUGUUCAAUUUUUAUGCAGAUUAUGUGUACAAUGCCAUCGAUGCCCUGCCUUCUACGGCUCAUCCAAUGACUCAAUUUGCUAGCGGUGUUAUGGCUCUCCAGGUGUGGAUCUCCAAACUCCAAUUGUUGUUUGCUUGUUCUUGUUGUAAUGUGUUAGAGCUUACUGUUUUUUCUUUUUUUUUUUUGCUAAUGAUAACUUUCCUUACCUGAUAUCCAGGUGCAAAGUGAGUUCCAAAAGGCAUAUGAGAAUGGAGUUCACAAGUCAAAGUACGUUUUAGAGUUUCUGGUGUAGUUCUUGACAUCAUUUAAAUUCAACAUGCAUCAUCACAAAGAUCUUUCCGUCCAGGUUCUGGGAGCCAACAUACGAGGAUUGCCUCAACCUGAUUGCUCGUGUUCCUGUAGUAGCUGCAUAUGUUUAUCGGAGGUUAGCGAAGACUUGUCCUUUUUGUUCUCUCUUUUCAUGUAUCUUUCAGCGUCUGGAUUUUGGGACUGAUUGUGUACCCUUUAUAGAAAAGAAUUGUCAUCAGCUGUUUUUGCUUCGUAUUUACCUCUGUUCUAAAUCAUUGCAGGAUGUAUAAGAAUGGCGAUUCCGUUCCCUCAGAUAAAUCUUUGGAUUAUGGUGCAAAUUUUUCCCACAUGUUGGGAUUUGAUGAUGAUAAAAUGAAAGAGCUCAUGAGGCUUUACAUCACUAUCCACAGGUCUGUUCUAAUUUCUUCGUCCAAUUAUGUCUUUUAACUUGAUUUUCUUAUCAUUUUUGAUGUUAUUUUUCAAAGACUUACAAUUAUUAGCAUGAUAAUUUCUAUUUUCUUCUUGUUUCUGGUUUUAGUGAUCAUGAAGGUGGAAACGUUAGUGCUCACACUGGUCACCUGGUGCGUAUGCUCAUAGUUUAUCAAUGUCGAAUGUUCCACAUGCAGUUCUAGAAUUGAGAUCUUUUGCUUAGGAUUGACAUUUCUGAUGGUUCGUUUCUGUAUUUAGGUCGGUAGUGCACUUUCAGAUCCGUAUCUCUCAUUUGCAGCUGCAUUAAACGGUUUGGCUGGACCACUCCAUGGUUUGGCUAAUCAGGUAUCUCUUUGUCUAUAUCCUCAACAAAUAUUGUACUGUUCAAUCUAUGGUAGAGAUUCAUGAGUUGCCUCUUGUAUAUUAUAUAGGAAGUUUGUGAUAGUUUUAUGGUACGAUUAUAAGGUAGAAGAACAGAAUCUUGAUGUUUUUCUUUUGUCUUGUUGCAACAGGAAGUUUUGCUUUGGAUCAAAUCAGUUGUUGAGGAAUGUGGAGAAAACAUAUCGAAAGACCAGUUGAAAGAAUAUGUCUGGAAAACAUUAAACAGUGGCAAGGUAAAAACAUAACAUUCAUCUACUUUGUCACUGCCAGGCUAAUACUGAAUUGCUGAUUAAAUCUACUCCAAAAGGACAUGAGAAAUUGAGUGAAUGUCUUGUCUUAGUAGUUGUAUGUCAUUCUUAUAGCUGAUGCCAAUUAUAGUGUCAGAAAAGUGUGGGAUCCAGUUUUAACUAAUUUGAGUUUUUCUUAUCUGAGUUAAAUAAUGUAUAUGUUUAUGUUACAAGGAUUUCUUACUGUUUACCAAAUAAUUAGUUGACAAAGCUUGAUUGGUUUACAGGUUGUUCCCGGAUAUGGACAUGGUGUUCUUCGCAAAACCGAUCCAAGAUAUGUAUGCCAAAGAGAAUUUGCCUUGAAGCAUUUACCUGAUGACCCUCUUUUCCAGCUGGUACUUUUAUUUUCUUCUUUUUUUCUUUUGCGCUCUUACAUAAUUAUAUAACUCUGCAGUGGCUAACAAGACCUUCGUUUCUAUAGGUCUCAAAGCUAUAUGAAGUUGUGCCUCCUGUUCUCACCGAACUCGGAAAGGUAAUAUGUCUAAUAUUUUCUCGUUACCAAGGGGAUCAUCAAUUCAUGUAAUGGAUAUUUCACAUAAAGUAUGAAACAUAAAUCACCAAUAAUUCAAUCAUUGAAUUAUUGGUGAUUUAUGUUUCAAUGGAUACGUCUCAUACUGAAUCAUGUGAUGGCUUUUGCUUGUUACAGGUGAAGAACCCAUGGCCAAAUGUUGAUGCUCACAGUGGAGUGUUACUCAACCACUAUGGUCUAACCGAAGCAAGGUAAGAAUUAGACUUCCCGCGUAACUUAUCGUUGAGCCUGUUACGUUGAAUAAAACAUUGUGCGUUUUUAUAGGUACUACACCGUGCUCUUCGGUGUCUCAAGGAGUCUUGGAAUAUGCUCUCAGGUAAUAUACAUAUAUAUACAGAUUACACAUUUGUUACUCCAAACCAAUGUAAAAUAGAACUCUGAUAAUUAGCUAAUUAUGUUAUUUGUGGUUUGGCUACAGCUAAUAUGGGACAGAGCUCUUGGUCUGGCACUAGAGAGGCCAAAGAGUGUUACAAUGGACUGGCUUGACGCCUUCUGUAAGAAAGCAAAAGCUUCAUCUGCUUGAAACCACCACUCACUCUCUUGGUGCUCCAUUGUCUUCCACACUGAAUAGCCUUUCUAUUGACAGAAGAAAGAUACAUUGUUUGUUCAUGUAGAAAUUGUUCAUCCCGAGAUUUUAUUUUCUUACCCCUGAGAAAAACACUUGCAGUGUGCAAAUUUGCAUUCCGGAAAACUCACGAUAAUAAAUAAACAUUUGUUGUAUUCAAUCUGCAUAAUCCACAAUCAUCAAAUGUCAAUAAUGCAUUACAACUUUUUUUAUUCGAUGUAUGUAUUCAAUCUGAAUAAACCUCUAUCAUCAAAUAUCUGAGAGAUGACACAUUGAACUGAAAAAAGUAAAGGCCAAAAAAGACAGAACAACACUGAGUUUUAACAAUAACAAACAUGCUCUGCAAGAAAGAUUACGAGCUGCUCUUCUUGUCCUUAUCGGUAGUAAUAUCCUCAACAUCAUCGAUGGAAGCAGUGAAGUUGAGUCUCUCUUCGGAGUUGGCAGUGAUCACAGGCAACCAAACAUCAGCAGUACCGCUAAGAAGAGACUGAACUUGCGGAUCAGAAGCAAGAGCCGACGAGAUCAUCUCAUCAACAUCGUCAAUCUUGGCUGAUAACUUAUCCAACUCAUUAGCAAUCUCCACCUCAGUGAGAGGCUGAGACGACUUUGAUGGCACUUUGGUGACUUCUAAGCCCAGAGCUUCGAUCUUUGAACGCAAUUCCACUUCCUCUGUGUUCGUCAACGAUUCAACCUGUUAAUACGACGAAGAAAACCAAAUCUAAACCAACACAAUCGAAAAUCAAAAGAUAUUCAAUCUAAGACGAUUUCGAUUUUGAGAUCGUGGUCCCUCCCUAGAGUUUGAUCAGAUUAUAAUGAAUUUGGGAUCGGAACCUGUUGGAGAAGACCUGAAAGAAGCUGGAAGAGCUGCUCGUCUGGUUUUCCAUCUGCCAUAGAUAGAUAGAUCAAAGCUCUCUCUCUCUCUCUCUCUCUCUCUCUCUCUCUCUCUCUCUCUCUCUCCCGUUUUUAUCUUUAUAAUCGAAUUACCGAGAGACUCUGAUUCAUUCGGAAGCUUUACACAAACGUUAAAACAGACGGACGGAUCACGGAACGGGGCAGGCGUGAACCCGCGCGAUUACGGAGUGAUUUACACUAUAAGACAGUUUAUGAGUUUUUAUUACACUUUAAGACAGUUAUUGCUACUAAGAUAGUUUUUCCUAACUACAAGCUAACUAAACUUAUUCUUAUAACAAAAUGGGUCCCACAGAUUUGGUCUUAUUUUCUUUUUCUCUUUAAUGGCAACGAAACUUGAAGAAAGAUACGAAAACAAUGGUUUUAAUGGCAAAAGUGGACGAAGAAACUGAGGAUAAAAACGUUUUGUUGCAUUUCUUUUUAUUUAAUCCAUCAUCUUCUUCGGCAACAAAGUGUAACGUUUGAACUUCUCCGACCACCGUCUACGUCUUCCUCACUAGCCGCUAAAUUAGGGCCAGAUCUGUACUACGAACACCAAACGGCCACAUCCUCUGUCAUUGCUCCAGCUCUCAUGUGUGAAGUGGCUGUAAAUCAAAAACGACCACAUCCUCUGUUAUUGCUCGAGUAACGGCAAGCUCCUACAGCGAAUCACCACUAUGCUGCCUCAUUUAGUCAUCGAAGAAUCACCUCCACCAUGCUCAGAUCUCCGGUCGUGUCUGUCUGGAAUCCUUGUGGGUCUUCCUCUCCGUCACAGAAUGAAAGCUUCAGAACAACAAUGGUCAAGUUUAUAGUUUUUGCACGUUUGGUCCUUCAAGAUUUUUUUUUUCAUUUUUGACUUUAGACUUUCAAAUUUGCAGAAAUGACAUUUGAUUUUAUCCCAAAUUUAUUAAUGUGCAUUUUAACCUUUGUUAUAUGCAAAUAAGCACACCAAUGUUUUUCCAUGGGGUAUUAUUCAUUUAUUGUGUACGCAGUUGUAACGAUAUAUGUAUGUAAUCAUAUGUAUAUGUCAUUAUGUACACAACAUUUCACUAUCCACAUGGUGAUCGUUCAUAUGUACACCAUGUAACUUGUGCAAUGAUUCACAUGUACACACUGUACAAAAUGUUUAUUUUAGCUAAAUUGCAAAAUAUUCUCUCCAUUUCCGAAAGAAGUAUUUUCUAAAAUAUUUACGCAUAUUAACGCAAAAGACAAGUAAUCACUAAUCACUUGUAAAAAUAGCACAAACAUAUUACUAAGGUUUUACAAAAUGCACAAAAAAAUGAAACUAUAACUUUUGAAGCCAUUUGAUGUGUACACUAUACCACGUACACAUUUUCUAUUAUCCACAUGUACAUUGAUUCACAUGUAUGCAAUGUUUUUUAUUAUCCAUGUGUACAUUGAUUCACAUGUACGCAAAUUAACUUAUACAACAAUACAUUGAUUCAUAGACCUCUCAUGUAAUGAUGCAGCAUGUAUAUUUUCAGGCAAAAGACAAGUAAUCACCUGUAAAAAUAUCACAAACAUAUUACUAAGGUUUUACAAAAUGCACAAAAGAAAUGAAACUAUAACUUUUGAAGCCAUUUGAUGUGUACACUAAACCACGUACACAAUUUUUUUAUUAUCCACAUGUACAUUGAUUCACAUUCACAUAUAAAUUAUGGGACCAAAUCCAAAGGAUUUAUUUUCCAAUCAGGAACAUCUGAGGCAUAAACAAAAUGAAACAAAACGGCAUGUACCAAUGUUGCAUUUCCGAAAGAAGUAUUUUCUAAAAUAUUUACGCAUAUUAACGCAAAAGACAAGUAAUCACUAAUCACUUGUAAAAAUAGCACAAACAUAUUACUAAGGUUUUACAAAAUGCACAAAAAAAUGAAACUAUAACUUUUGAAGCCAUUUGAUGUGUACACUAUACCACGUACACAUUUUCUAUUAUCCACAUGUACAUUGAUUCACAUGUAUGCAAUGUUUUUUAUUAUCCAUGUGUACAUUGAUUCACAUGUACGCAAAUUAACUUAUACAACAAUACAUUGAUUCAUAGACCUCUCAUGUAAUGAUGCAGCAUGUAUAUUUUCAGGCAAAAGACAAGUAAUCACCUGUAAAAAUAUCACAAACAUAUUACUAAGGUUUUACAAAAUGCACAAAAGAAAUGAAACUAUAACUUUUGAAGCCAUUUGAUGUGUACACUAAACCACGUACACAAUUUUUUUAUUAUCCACAUGUACAUUGAUUCACAUUCACAUAUAAAUUAUGGGACCAAAUCCAAAGGAUUUAUUUUCCAAUCAGGAACAUCUGAGGCAUAAACAAAAUGAAACAAAACGGCAUGUACCAAUGUUGCAAAAUCAGAAUAUUUGCUUGGUCUGGAUUGCACAAUUAAAAGUUUCAGGAAAUAUUCGUGAACAUAAUAGAAUUUUGAGCCAAAUUUGAGAAUAAACAAGAUUUGGAGGAUCACAUGUGAAAAUAAUCAAAAUUUGACCAUUGUUGCUUCAAUGAAGCUUUCUCUUCGAUCUGCGACUAAAGUGACAAUGAUUCCAACGUCCACAACUCUGGUCCCGAGCAUGACGACCACGGCGAGGAGGAGACGAUUUGAACUUGACGUGGAUAGCGGUAGAGCUAAGUCGGAAUGAAGCUUAGGGUUUGAGGUCGCCGACAAUGGAGUUUCCGUUAGAGAAGAAACGACAAUUGUUCGUUGGAGAAGAAACCAAAAGGUUUUUUACCACUCCAAAAAUGAUCUUGAUUCUCUUUUUGUUCUAUUUUCAUGAACGAUUGUUCAUCAUAAAAGAAAUUCUUGUUUGAAAUCAUGAGAGGAAUUGUCUAUAUUUUGUUACUAAAGAUCAGUUCUUUUCAUUGUAAUAACUCGUUCUGCAAAUUCAAUGUCUUUUUGAUCUGUAAAAAAAAAAUUUGAGCAAAGAGAAAACAAGGAAAAGAAGAAGAAGUGGGACCUAGUAGUUACAGCUUAUUUUGGUUUCAACUAGCAAACGUAACGAAAAAGGAAGAAAGUUAGAAAAAAGUGUUCUGGUAGUUGAAAGUGACUUAUUGUGUUAUAAAAAACUUAAAACUGUCUCUCAGUGUAAUUCUUUCAUUACGUUAGAUCGCUGACGUGGGUUUUGACUCGGUGGUUUUUUUCUUCUCGUAUUUAUGAUGUCAUUUAAUAAACUGUAUAAAAGACAAAUUAGAGGAUUUUUUAUUUGUUUGAAAAUGAGACAAAACCUUUUUUCUUAUAAUUGGUUUUAGAUUAUACAGAGGGAAUGUAGUUAGUUUGUGAAGGUCAAUGCCAUCUAAUCAACCCCUUGGAAUAUCCUAUUUACUUGCAUAUUAUAAUAUUAAGUUUUGACUAAUUACUUUUCUUCAAACAUUUUCAUUUUAUAAAAAAAUUUAGAUGGUGACCUAUAAUGAUUAGAAUAAAUAAAACCAAACGGCUUUAGUUAAAGAUCUUUUUAUUUCAGAUUAUUAAUAAUUAUUCAAAAGAAAAUAACAUGAAAUUAGCAAAUAAAACAAAUCAAUGAAAAACAAGAACCAAAACACAAGAAAAACAACAAUCAUAUAGUUUCAGAGCUCCAAGAAUCCAAGAAAGCUCGAGAGAAACAUAUUUGUUUUCAAACUUUUAUCAUAUUCUUAGAUCAACUUGAGACAUGCUUUUCUAGCUUUCUUAGCAAUUUUAGCUCUCUGCAUCUCCAUAUGUAACUCAAUCUGCAUCCUCUCCAUCUCCCUUUGAGCUUCAAGCAUUGCAGCUAACUCCGAAGCCGCCGAGCCUCUUCCUCCUCCUUUAUUACCACUUGUACUCGCCUUUCCUCCUCCUCUCUUUGGCUCCACCACUUCUUCUACUUCACAAGAAUGUAAAUGCGUGCCGUAGUCACAUUCCUUGCAGUAAUAAGACCAUAGAUGAUCCGGAACCGUCUCUUGACAUACAUCACACUUGACGAUCAAACCGUUCGUGUAAGGAGAACAGUAAAGCAACGUGAGCGGAUGCUCAUGUCCUUCACGCUCCACGGACUCAGGCAUUGAUAUGCACCCGACAUGUAAAUCAAACUGGCAGAUAGAGCAGUUGUAAACGAACCCUGAUCCAUACUCACUGCACGCGCUGCACUCGUAAGUUGAGGACUCGUACGGUGGCGAAUAAAGCAGGGUCAGAGGGUGAUCAGGGUGAGACUUGUGGCGUGUCUCACGUGGAAGAUCGAAACAUGACUUGUGCAAGAAGUAAUCACAUUCUGACUUUGUGCAUUUGAAAGCUGCACCUAUUAGGUGUAGGUCGCAGCCGGAGCAGAUGGUCUCUUCUUCAGCUAGGGCUUUGUGACCGCGCAAUGGAUGGUUGUGGCUAGGGUGCCUCACCGAUGGUUUUCUUGAAGCCAUUGUAGGUAAAAUGAUUUUAUUUUGUUUGUUUUUGUGAUUCUUAUUAAGCUAAGGGGUUUCAAAGCAUUUAUAGUGAAGAUAGUAAGAUGACUUGUGAUUGUGAGUCUUCUUCAGGAUGGGAGUAGUGAUGCGUUUUGGUUUGACUAUUAACCAAGUUGUAGCAUAUAUAUUAACUAUAUUGGGAAAAAAUGUCACUACGCGCUAAUAUGAUUUAUAUACGAUUUCUAUAUAUGUAUAUAAGAUUAGUUCUCACUGGGAAUUCAAAGUCAAGAGGUGGAACUAUUCUCUUUGAACCCAUCCAUCACGGGAUUAUUAGUUUUAUUGUUCUUUUAUAAUUUGAUUAAAUAGCCAUUUGUAGUUAAAGAUUCUGAAAUAUUGAUUUAUCAAGCGGCAGAUGUAGACAAUAUGUGAGUUGACAUAGUUAAUUAGAUAUGUGAGGUCAAUUAACUACGCUGAGGUUAAUUAGCGACUCAUUGAUUGUGUAUACUGUAUAGUUCCAACAGUUGAUUUUUUUUUGAGAAAGCAGUUGAAUUUUUUUACUUACUUUCGUGCUUAACAAAUUUGAUAAGUUUAGGGAAGAAAUGUUUUCAAAGGUGUUCAGAUUCAUAUGAUGUUGGUGGGUGUUAGUCUUUGUACUUGCAAGUAGAUAGAAUUUACCAACUGACCAAACAAAAAUCCAAAAACAAAAAUAUAACAUCAUAUAAUAUUUAAUAGAGCAAGUAAUCAUUUGAAGAUUGUGCAAACGUUUCUAGUAUCCAUAUUCUGGAUUGUUUACAUUGUAUAAACAUAAAAUUACGAACUAUAAUGAUCAAAGAUAUUUGAUUGGCAAAUAUAUAAUCAUACAGCUCACAGUUUUUUUAAAUCUUAAUAACAAAAAAAAAAAAAGAUAAAAUCUUACAAACAAGCCACAUUGAAAGAAAGUCACAAACAUACAAAGAAAGAACGAAAUCAGAGUUUGAUACACUUUUUCUUCCUAACCAAAAUUCACAAAAGAGAGCAAUUAAACACUCAAUAAUCAAUUCACCAAUAAUAUUUCCUCCUUGGUUCCCAUGAACCGACGUAACUACCUGCUGCAUCAAUAGCAUCUAACUGGACCUGCAUCAUCGCCAUCUCCAUUUUAGCAUCCAUUUCCGACUUCACCUCUGAUGCCGCCGAGCUUGUUUCUCCUUUUUCUUCUCCUUUCUUUGGAGCAGUAUCUUCAUAUGUGGCGCAUGAACGUACAUGUGUCCCAUAGUCACAUUCUUUGCAAUAAUACACCCAUAGAUGCUCUUGCAUAUCUUCUUCACAAACAUCACAUAUGAACGUCACACCAUCCUCGCGACCUUUGCAUGGCGUGUUGUAAAGUAGCGUGAGAGGGUGUUCGUGGUCUUCACGCUGCACGGUCACAGGGACAAACGCACAUCCAACAUGAACAUCGUACUGGCACUUAGAGCAAUGGUAUGUGAAACCAGAUCCAUGCUCACCGCACGCAUCGCACGAGAAGAUGGACUGAUCGUACGGUGGAGAAUGGACCAGAGUCAAAGGGUGAUUAGGGUGAGACUUGUGAAGGGUUUCACCUGGAAGGUCGAAACAUGACUUGUGCAAGAAGUAAUUGCACUCUGACUUUGUACACUUGUAAGCUUGCCCAAUUAGUUCGAGCUCGCAUCCAGAGCAAAUGAUCUCAUCUCCUUCUUGGGAUUUGAAGACCCGUAAAGGAUGAUCGUGACUAGGGUGUCUCACCGUUGGACGGUUAGUCGGAUUAGCCCUAGUUUUUCCUGAACCCAUAUGUUCUUGAUAUGUGUCUAAGGUUUUGGUUGUUUUGUGGCUUGUGGGAGAAUCUCUUUGGAAGUAUUAUAAAUACCAAAUAUUGAAGUGGACUUUGAUUUCUAUAAUUAUGAGAUUGGUAUUCUUAUUAACCAUGUCUUAGUUUAUCAUUAUUAUACCAUCUGUAUAUGUUACAUAAGAGUAAUUCUCAUUUGGGUGUCAAAAGUCAAGAGGUGGAACUAUUCAUUUAGAACGCAUCCAUUACAGGACUAGUCAUCUUGUGCUUAUAUAAUUGAUAGCCAAUUGUAAUUACAGAUUCUAGAUAUUGAAUUAUCAAGUUGGAAAUGUAUACAAUAUAAGAGUUGACAUAGAUAAAGAUGUGAUGUUAACUAACUAGGCUUGGUCUCUAAUGUCUAUCAUCUUCCAAGUCAUCUGAAUAUAAGUGACUAUGACUUCGGAAAAAAGAAAUUAGAAAUUGCGAUAAAAAAACAUCAACAUGAGUCACUAUAUAGUAAUUUCUAGUGAAAAUCAUAAGCUUUAAACCCUAAAUCUUAUUUGAGACUUGAGAUGCAUGUAACCUGCAAGACCAACGCAUGUUACUCGAAUAUGUCUAUUUAACGAUUUAUCAAUACAACUAAUGCUAUUGCUGAUGAAUUGAAACAUUCGUUAUUAUUAUUAGUGAAUACAUAACAAAGAUAGCAUAUACUACUUGCCUUUUAAAAGCAAACAUUUUAAAAUUUCAAAUAACCCAAAGUGGAUCAGAAUUUUAUCAUGCAUUUAUUUAUUACUUUUUCUUUUUAUUUUGCAUAACAAAGUUUCAUUGAAAAUAAUUGUUGCAGUAAGUCACACGAACAAACGAAAUUCCCAAAAAAAAAAAAAAACAAUUACAAUCUUCAUCAAUGCAUCAAAUAGAUCAUUCAUAGUUUCGAUCACCAAUAAUAUCUCCGCUUUGGUUCAUCCCAUAACUCAAGUAUAGCAUCAUUAGUGUUCUUCCUAAUACGUGCCUCGAGCUGCAACGCCGCCAUCUCAUCUUGAGCUUUCAUCAACGACUUCAUCCUUGCAGCGGCAGAGCUCGAUUCUCCUCCUCCUCCUCCUCCUCCUCUUCCUUCUUCUCCUCCUCCUCCUCCUUUCUUUGGCUGAUGAUCUUCAUAAACCGCGCAAGAAUGCACAUGUGUCCCAUAAUCACAUUCUUUGCAGUAAUAAACCCAAAGAUUCUCCGACAUAUCUUCUUCACAAACAUCACAUAUGAACAUUGCACCGUCCUCGCGACCUUUGCAUGGUGUGUUGUAGACUAAAGUGAGGGGGUGGUCGUGAUCUUCGCGCUUCACAGUUUCGGGGAUAAAGGCACAUCCAACAUGUACAUCGUACUGGCACUCUGAACAGUUGUAAGUGAAUCCGGAUCCAUAUUGGCCGCAUGCGUCGCACGUGUAAGAGUGACCAUACGGUGGGGAAUGAAGCAGGGUCAAAGGGUGGUCUGAGUGAGACUUGUGUUUGGUUUCACGAGGUAGGUCGAAACAUGACUUGUGCAAGAAGUAAUCGCAGUCUUUCUUUGUACAUUUGAAGGCUUGUCCGAUUAGGUCAAGCUCGCAUCCAGAGCAGAUGAUCUCAUCUUCUUCUUGGGAUUUGAAGAGGCGUAGCGGAUGGUUGUGACUCGGGUGCCUCACCGAGGGUCGGUUAACCGGUUUCUUUGAAGUCAUUGUGCCUGGAUUUGGUAUUUUUACGUGGAAGAAACGUUUAACAACUAUAAAUAGCAAUGUAUGUAGAGGGCUUGCGAUUUCUAUUUUGGGCUAAAUAAUUCUGAGUUUUUUAUUAUUCGUAUUCACCUAGUUGUGAUUUUAAUAUACAAGAAGAAAGUUGACAUUAGAAUUGCAUAAUUUAGACCGCUUAACAAUUAACUAAAUACUCCCACUAUCAUAUAAAAAUUAUUACGUAGCCCUUUUCAAUGUAAAUAUAAUAAUUGUUUUAUUUGAUAUAAUAAUUAGUUCUUAUAUUUUUGUGUGAUAACUAAUACAAAUUAACAUGAAUAUAAUGAUAUUACUACUAACAUCAUUUAAUUAUGAUUUGAAAUCUCCAACUUGGGUGAUUGUUAAGAAGUUGUGACAAAGCACUAGAGUUUCUCAAUAGUUGAAGUUUCACUAUAAUCCAAGUGGGUAACGACUUGAUCAAACAAUCUAACCGUUGACUUUAAAGUCGUCGACUGAAAGCUUAGAAUCAACAUCACACGGUAGAAAAAUUGCGUAUCACAAAACAAAAUGUUCCAACAAGUCCCCAAGCCAUUGAUUUGUGUUCAUACCAAACUAUAAUAACAUUUUAAUACCCUCUCUGAACAAGUUGUGCAGCAAAAACAAUGGGAAGGCCAAAACCAGAAGACUCAAUUCGACAUUUCAGCCAUCCACAUCCAUUGUUCAACUCAUCUCUCAAUCCUCAAGCCAACUCUUCUUCUUCUUCUUGCGUGGUUUGCAAGUUAAAGCUUCUCAAUCUUCCUUCAUACACAUGUAAGCCAUGCAACUUCCACAUCCACCUAAAAUGUUCCGAAUUACCUCAAAAGAUCAGACACCCUUUCGACAAAAACCAUCUCCUGUCUCUCAUCUCCUCUCCAAAAUACCAAGAAGGGACAUUCCGCUGUGACGCAUGCGGCAAAAACGGUGACGGAUUCGCUUACCACUGUGGAGACUGCGGUAUAGAUCUUCACACGGUUUGUGCCAACAUGCCUUCUCGUGUCACGCACCAAUCUCACCCUCACCACCAACUUUAUUUAAC
This 43811-nucleotide long non-coding RNA is filed under the name Brassica napus (rape). RNAcentral describes it as "long non-coding RNA (BNAP_LNC003836)". The record is from RNAcentral. Lineage: Eukaryota; Viridiplantae; Streptophyta; Magnoliopsida; Brassicales; Brassicaceae.